UUAUUCGUUACAUCCCUAGGCGACGAGUGGCUAAUACCCAUGAGUCACAAGUGUGAUCAGUAACUCUGCCCAGGAACCGUGAACAAAUUAAUGUGUUUAAGGCAAGCUCGUGUAUUCAAUACAUAGCUUGAAUAAUUUAGCAUGGAACCACUAUACCCUCCUUUUGGAGGGACCUGGUAAUAAAAGCUCGGCGGAGGACUCUGGUAUUGCGCACUUAGAGGUGAAAUUCCGAUAUUUCCGCAAGACGAACGGAUGCGUAGGCUGUCAUUGCCCAUCACACCUUUAUUGAUCAGGAACGAGAGUCAGGGGAUCGAAGAUGAUUAGACACCGUCGUAGUCCUGACUGUAAACUAUACUAACAAGAGUUUGUGUAGACACUACUCUGUAUGAUCUUCGCAGAAUCCAAGGGAAACCUCAAGUUUUUGGGUUCUGGGGGGAGUAUAGUCGCAAGGCCGAAACUUAAAGGAAUUGACGGAAAGGCACCACCAGGAGUGGAGUUUGCGGCUUAAUUCGACUCAACGCGGGGAAACUCACCAGGUUAGGACAGAGGAGAGAUUGACAGGUUGAGAGUCCUUUCUUGAUUCUUUGAUUGGUGGUGCAUGGCCGUUCUUAGUUCGUGGAGUGAUCUGUCUACUUAAUUGUGUUAACGAACGAGACCUUAACCUGCUAAUUAGCGCAUGGGUCGGUAAAACGAUCAUUUCACCCUUUGGGUGCUUGCUAUC
RNAcentral lists this ribosomal RNA (721 nucleotides) under uncultured eukaryote. RNAcentral's name for it is "bacterial SSU rRNA". It matches the Rfam family "Eukaryotic small subunit ribosomal RNA", at positions 679 to 1405 of the family's 1831-position model. The record is from RNAcentral.